This 497-nucleotide ribosomal RNA is filed under the name uncultured bacterium. Its description in RNAcentral is "partial 16S ribosomal RNA". It matches the Rfam family "Bacterial small subunit ribosomal RNA", at positions 28 to 507 of the family's 1533-position model. The record is from RNAcentral.
GACGAACGCUGGCGGCGUGCCUAAUACAUGCAAGUUGAGCGCUGAAGGAUGGUACUUGUGCCCACUGGAUGAGCAGCGGACGGGUGAGUAACGCGUGGGGAAUCUGCCUUUGAGCGGGGGACAACAUUUGGAAACGAAUGCUAAUACCGCAUAAAAACUUUAAACACAAGUUUUAAGUUUGAAAGAUGCAAUUGCAUCACUCAAAGAUGAUCCCGCGUUGUAUUAGCUAGUUGGUGAGGUAAAGGCUCACCAAGGCGAUGAUACAUAGCCGACCUGAGAGGGUGAUCGGCCACAGUGGGACGGAGACACGGCCCAAACGCCUAAGGGAGGCAGCAGUAGGGGAUCUUUGGAAAUGGACGGAAGGCUGAACGCGCAACGCCGGGUGAGUGAAGAAGGGUUUCGGAUCGUAAAACUCGGUUGGUAGAGAAGAACGUUGGUGAGAGUGGAAAGCGCAUCAAGUGACGGUAACUACACAGAAAGCGACGGCUAACUACGUG